Molecule: ribosomal RNA, 468 nt
Filed under: uncultured bacterium
Lineage: Bacteria
Description: partial 16S ribosomal RNA
Rfam family: Bacterial small subunit ribosomal RNA
Source: RNAcentral
GACGAACGCUGGCGGCGUGCUUAACACAUGCCAGUCGAACGGAAAGGCCCUGCUUUUGUGGGGUGCUCGAGUGGCGAACGGGUGAGUAACACGUGAGUAACCUGCCCUUGACUUUGGGAUAACUUCAGGAAACUGGGGCUAAUACCGGAUAGGAGCUCCUGCUCCAUGGUGGGGGUUGGAAAGUUUCGGCGGUUGGGGAUGGACUCGCGGCUUAUCAGCUUGUUGGUGGGGUAGUGGCUUACCAAGGCUUUGACGGGUAGCCGGCCUGAGAGGGUGACCGGCCACAUUGGGACUGAGAUACGGCCCAGACUCCUACGUGAGGCAGCAGUGGGGAAUAUUGCACAAUGGGCGGAAGCCUGAUGCAGCAACGCCGCGUGCGGGAUGACGGCCUUCGGGUUGUAAACCGCUUUCGCCUGUGACGAAGCGUGAGUGACGGUAAUGGGUAAAGAAGCACCGGCUAACUACGUG